This 78-nucleotide transfer RNA is filed under the name Rhabdopleura sp. NHMO H2136. Its description in RNAcentral is "tRNA-Arg". Lineage: Eukaryota; Metazoa; Hemichordata; Pterobranchia; Rhabdopleurida; Rhabdopleuridae. The record is from RNAcentral.
UGGUGUUUAGUUAUGAUGGGUCUAGAGUAAAUAAACUUGGGGGUUUCGGUUCUCUAGAUUCUUUUUAAGGUCGCUUUU